RNAcentral lists this ribosomal RNA (683 nucleotides) under uncultured bacterium. Its description in RNAcentral is "bacterial SSU rRNA". It matches the Rfam family "Bacterial small subunit ribosomal RNA", at positions 81 to 762 of the family's 1533-position model. The record is from RNAcentral.
UUCGGACCAAGAGACCGGCGCACGGGUGCGUAACGCGUAUGUAAUCUACCUUUUACAGAGGGAUAGCCCAGAGAAAUUUGGAUUAAUACCUCAUAGUAUAUAGAGUUGGCAUCAACACUAUAUUAAAGUCACAACGGUAAAAGAUGAGCAUGCGUCCCAUUAGCUAGUUGGUAAGGUAACGGCUUACCAAGGCAACGAUGGGUAGGGGUCCUGAGAGGGAGAUCCCCCACACUGGUACUGAGACACGGACCAGACUCCUACGGGAGGCAGCAGUGAGGAAUAUUGGUCAAUGGGCGCAAGCCUGAACCAGCCAUGCCGCGUGCAGGAUGACGGUCCUAUGGAUUGUAAACUGCUUUUGUACGGGAAGAAACCCUCCUACGAGUAGGAGCUUGACGGUACCGUAAGAAUAAGGAUCGGCUAACUCCGUGCCAGCAGCCGCGGUAAUACGGAGGAUCCAAGCGUUAUCCGGAAUCAUUGGGUUUAAAGGGUCCGUAGGCGGUUUAGUAAGUCAGUGGUGAAAGCCCAUCGCUCAACGGUGGAACGGCCAUUGAUACUGCUAGACUUGAAUUAUUAGGAAGUAACUAGAAUAUGUAGUGUAGCGGUGAAAUGCUUAGAGAUUACAUGGAAUACCAAUUGCGAAGGCAGGUUACUACUAAUGGAUUGACGCUGAUGGACGAAAGCGU